GCAUAGUUGUAUCAAGAACUAACAUAUGGUGAUGGUUAGAGAGGUUUGAAACCUUUGUUGUCUCCAUUUCUCUAGAAUAGCAAUUUUAUUGGGGUUUGUCCACUCAUUUAGGGAGCAUAUGAAGUUUUACUAAAUUUAUUGAUAAAAAAUAAAACGAUGCCCAUGUACCAUGAAAAAGAAUUUAUAGUACAUUAAUAAAAAUUUAGAAUGUGGUUAUAAAUUAAAAAAAAAACACUAAAGAUUAUAGGCUUCAGUAUAUUAACCUUUUACCGAAAAACUGAAUAUUUU
RNAcentral lists this long non-coding RNA (288 nucleotides) under Brassica napus (rape). Its description in RNAcentral is "long non-coding RNA (BNAP_LNC007234)". Lineage: Eukaryota; Viridiplantae; Streptophyta; Magnoliopsida; Brassicales; Brassicaceae. The record is from RNAcentral.